Molecule: non-coding RNA, 116 nt
Organism: Hordeum vulgare subsp. vulgare (domesticated barley)
Lineage: Eukaryota; Viridiplantae; Streptophyta; Magnoliopsida; Poales; Poaceae
Source: Rfam
AAAUUCUUAUCUUAUAUUUGUCUAGAUAUGAAUGUAUCUAGUCAUAUUUUAAUAUUUAGAUACAUUCAUUUCUAGACAAAUAAAAGACAAGAAUUUUGGGACGAAGGGAGUAGUUG